AGCAAUGGCGAGAAGGCAAACUUUGAGGAGUCUUCUCAUACUCCUCAUACUUACCAGUGACGUGCUCGCCCACGUCAUCAAGAUACAAAAUGGUGUAGGGUGGUCGGAGUCCUUCCGAGUUCCAGCUGGCCCUGGACACUCGAUGGACUCUGACCUGCAGGACCUUCCCUCCGCUAAGGACACGGUGGAAUCCAGCUUGGCAUCUCGCGAGGUGCUGGCGAGGUUCCUCCGUGUCGCGGACAGCAACGGACUGCACUCUGGCCCUGGUCUCGAGACGAUUCGAGACCGAGCCAGGCAGGCGAAAAUCGCGGCGGGCGUUUUAAGUGGGAUAAUCCACCGACGGAAGAGGGCCCUGGGUGACACGGAUAACGAAGGUCUUACGCCUAACUGGUUCUCUCGCCUGGCCGAGAGAAAUGUUAUUUUUAUCACCAGGGUCUUCAGAUCUCGGCGGUGGGGGAGGUACAGGUACACGAUGAGUGUGUCCUCCCUCAUACUCUUGGUGUCCACGAUCACGCAAGUGUACCUGGACAGGCAAGGUAUGGGGGAUAUCGGCGACACCUCGACUUACCUGGAUUUCUACUGGCUCCUGUACGACGUACUUAAUGAGGUCAAAGAGUUUGCGGACUCGAAUUGCUAUUACCCCACCUAUUGGCCCGCCGCGUUGCUCGCCCCCGACCACUGCAAUCCCUACCGCCUGGUGGAGGAGACCCGCCGUGCCUUGGUAAACAGGUGGUGAAAUUCAGACUGAAUUUAGGUCAUUUACUAAAUCUGGGUUUUGGUGUGGAGGAUAAAAAAAAUAUCGUGCUUGAGACCGUAAGAAAUGGCCUCUUGUUUGUGUCUUUCUAACAUUAUUUUUUUGAGGCAAUAAAAGUCUCCUGGAAAGUGAUGCCAGAGUUGUUUAAAGUUCAUGCCUCGGGAUUUCCAGGCUUGCGUGCGGUGUUACCUCCACCAGGCGGAUGGGAUGAUGGGAUCGAAACCCGCUGCUGACUCAACAGAGUGGAAGGGAACUGCCUGCACCUCCUUUGUUUCUGCGGUAACGUGCGGUGAGGAAAGCUAAGCCAUUGCUGCCAUCCGGGGGUAUGAGGACUGACAUGAAGGACCUUCCCUCCAUGAUGGUCACGGUGGAAUCCAUCCUGAUAACACAGAUGCUCCUCCCCAUGCUGACUUGGGCAACGAGAGCCAUUGCCCCGCCACAGGAGUGAGAGGAACUGACCUGAACAUCGCCUUCCUGCUUGCUGUAGGGAAAGCCUCUGCUGCUGGCCCUGCUGGAGAAAGUCUACCGUCUACGUCAUUGUGCACCAGUACCCAAGACGGCCAGGCAGCUGGGAACACAAGCCACCACAGGAAGUCUGCACCCACGCGGUCAUUCUCCAAAAUGGCGCAUCGAGUCGGUUGUUCCCUGAAUCCCCUGCAAAGCCUUCUCUCUGUGAUGGCCACGGUGGAAUCUAACAUAAUGGCACAGCCGCUGGCGAGUGUUGGAGUCUGACUACUCUCUGGCCCUGAGCUCGAGACUUCAGAUGAAGCCAGACAACCGAAUAUCUCCCCUGCUCCUCCCCGCGGUGCUUGCCUUGCCUUGCCUUGCCGAGUGUACAAGGUUGUGCACAACUAUAGCGACGGAAUGGAUCACAUUAUACACUUGGGUGCCGAUGAACACUGCUAUUACCCGACAUACUGGCCCGUCUCGUUGCUCGCCCCUGACCACUGCAACCAACACUGCCUUCGAUAGAGCCUUUGCUGCCACCAGGGGUGGGUGGGUGGAGCCUGGCCUGGACCUCCCCUUCAUGCUGUUCCUGCUGGAGAAAGUCUACCUCCCCUUAAUGAUCCUGCUGGAGAAAGUCUACCUUCCCUUCCUGGUGAAUUCAGUUUGAACUUCAACCCCUGCGUAUUCUAGGGCCCGGCGGUGACCGUCUUUAGAUUCAGUGACAUGCCCGAGUUCAGUUUGAACUUCAUCCCCUGCGUUUUCUAAGGCCCGGCGGUGACAGUCUUUAGAUUCAGUGACAUGCCCGAGUUCAGUUUGAACUUUAUCCCCUGCGUUUUCUAAGGCCCGGCGGUGACAGUCUUUAGAUUCAGUGACAUGUCUGAGUUCAGUUUGAACUUUAUCCCCUUCGUCUUCAAAGGCCCGGCGGUGACCAUCUUUAGAUUAAGAGACCUGCCUGAAUCUGUUUGAAAAUCAUCCCCUACGUUGGAUAAUAGCGGUGCUCUACCGA
Molecule: long non-coding RNA, 2207 nt
Organism: Eriocheir sinensis (Chinese mitten crab)
Lineage: Eukaryota; Metazoa; Arthropoda; Malacostraca; Decapoda; Varunidae
Exons: 7
Source: RefSeq, a predicted model, not a curated record